AUGGGGUGUAGCACGUCAAAAUGCAAAUUUGAAGAAGCACCCAAAGGUGCCAGGGCU
Molecule: transfer RNA, 57 nt
Filed under: Phelsuma v-nigra
Lineage: Eukaryota; Metazoa; Chordata; Lepidosauria; Squamata; Gekkonidae
Description: tRNA-Cys
Source: RNAcentral